AACGAACGCUGGCGGCAGGCUUAACACAUGCAAGUCGAACGCCCCGCAAGGGGAGUGGCAGACGGGUGAGGAACACGUGGGAAUAUGCCUUUUGGUACGGAACAACUUUUGGAAACGAAAGCUAAUACCGGUAUGGUCCCUUCGGGGUAAAGAUUUAUCGCCAAAAGAUUAGCCCGCGUUGGAUUAGCUAGUUGGUAGGA
RNAcentral lists this ribosomal RNA (200 nucleotides) under uncultured bacterium. RNAcentral's name for it is "partial 16S ribosomal RNA". It matches the Rfam family "Bacterial small subunit ribosomal RNA", at positions 29 to 257 of the family's 1533-position model. The record is from RNAcentral.